RNAcentral lists this unclassified non-coding RNA (254 nucleotides) under Hevea brasiliensis (rubber tree). The record is from RNAcentral. Lineage: Eukaryota; Viridiplantae; Streptophyta; Magnoliopsida; Malpighiales; Euphorbiaceae.
CCCUGCCAUGUCUUUAUCCUAACACCGGUUAAUGUGUUUUGCAUUGCAACAUCCCGGAUGGUGACGUUUGAAACACAGGCUUUGGUGUUGUCUUUUCCAAGCCCUCCAAUGCUAAUGCCAUGUCCAGGUCCACAAUUUACAUUGUGUAUGUAAACAUUUGAGCAUCCGCUUUGAAUAGAUACACAGUCAUCCCCUGUGAAGUCAGUAGGAUAAGAAAUUAAUAUCUUAUCUGAUUUGAUGCAUGUGGACACGAA